Molecule: ribosomal RNA, 516 nt
Filed under: Cyclophora tenuis
Lineage: Eukaryota; Bacillariophyta; Fragilariophyceae; Cyclophorales; Cyclophoraceae
Description: partial Bacterial small subunit ribosomal RNA
Rfam family: Bacterial small subunit ribosomal RNA
Source: RNAcentral
AAAAGGACUUCGGUUUGCUUCGGGAUGGACUCGCGUCCAAUUAGCUAGUUGGUGAGGUAACGGCCCACCAAGGCGACGAUCGGUAGCCGGACUGAGAGGUUGAACGGCCACAUUGGGACUGAGACACGGCCCAGACUCCUACGGGAGGCAGCAGUGGGGAAUAUUGCACAAUGGGCGCAAGCCUGAUGCAGCCAUGCCGCGUGUAUGAAGAAGGCCUUCGGGUUGUAAAGUUCUUUCGGUAGCGAGGAAGGCAUUUAGUUUAAUAGACUAGGUGAUUGACGUUAACUACAGAAGAAGCACCGGCUAACUCCGUGCCAGCAGCCGCGGUAAUACGGAGGGUGCAAGCGUUGUCCGGAUUUAUUGGGUUUAAAGGGUACGUAGGCGGGUCUUUAAGUCCGUGGUGAAAGCCUGCAGCUUAACUGUAGAACUGCCAUGGAUACUGGAGAUCUUGAAUUCAGUUGAGGUAAGCGGAAUUUAUGAUGUAGCGGUGAAAUGCAUAGAUAUGACGCAGAACGC